Molecule: non-coding RNA, 3148 nt
Organism: Lolium perenne
Lineage: Eukaryota; Viridiplantae; Streptophyta; Magnoliopsida; Poales; Poaceae
Source: RefSeq, a predicted model, not a curated record
CGUAUGUCAUACAACACGUUUGGUGAAGGAGAUUCGGAGCAUCUGGACCGUUUAAUCCAAAUCCGAUGAUAUAUAACGGCUGAUGGUACAUCGUCUCAACGGUUUCUUAGCUAAUUACCCUUCCAUGCCACCGAUAAGUCACAAAUACCGGUUGAGAACACACCGCACAACACAAGGGGAAGAAUUCCCCAACCUCCUCACGUUGACCUCCUCCCAUGGAACCCUAAGCACAGGGUGCAGCCGCCACCCCUCCUGUCUCUCACCGCGCCACAGCAGCCCUGCCGCCGCCACUCCGCCCAGCACGCCACCGCCUCCUGCCACCUCCUCUGGGGUCUUCCCCAUCACAUCUCCUCCCCAGACCCGGUGCUUCCUUCUCAUUCCCGUCCUCGGCAUCGAGAUCCAAGGAGAUCACCACCAGUCCUACAUCUCUCUCUGGAUGCCGGAUGAAAUCGAGAUGGAAUGGAGUCCGCCUGGCCUUCUCCCUCCACGUCGCCUCUUUUUCUGGCAGCUGGAGGUCGCGAAGUGCCUCCUGAGUGAGGACAUGUCCGUGAUCGGCAAGGGCCCCUACACCGUGCUCAACAUUCUCAACCGCCAUCGCCAAUCUCCCCGGUACGGAGAUAUAUCUUCUGUUAAAGAGGUUUGGAGACACACUGGCCCCGGGUCGCUUACGCACGGGGCGACUCGGGGAAACACUAGCCGCCGCCGACGGGCUCCCCUGUUUUGAGCCACCUCCUGCUGCCAAAGGCUCUGGGAGCGAGCUGCCCUGGAGGCGUCGAGGAGGUUGUCGUGCUGGCCUGGUCGGAGGCGCUUGUCGCCGGGUCGGCCGGCGAGGCGUCGGGUUGUGCUGGGCGCUGGGGCGGCGACCCCGGGAUUUCACGGCGGAGGAGGCGGCUGUCGUGGCUGCGCGAGCAACACGAUGGUCAUAUCUGGGUGCUUCCGGCCUGCAGCCCGACGACUCUCGGCUCCAUGCCCGCCAUGAUUAUAGUGCAAAAGAUGAAGAUGCUAACGAUCACAAGGCUAACAUAUUAUUUUAGAAGCUGGCCAUGAACUUGUACUAGAAAUUGCCACAUAUAUUUUGAUAACCAUCUGCUUCUUUGGCUCUUGGGGUCCUAUGUUAGCUUUCUUAUUAUAUAUUCUUAUAGUUUAUCUUGUAGAUCAUGUCCAAACCUAAUGGGUGAUAUUCGAGAUGUGUUGUGCAUAUCAUGUACGUUUUACUAACAAAAUUCUGAAAGAAAAAAUGGUCUUAAUUAAAAAAUCAAUUUCUUGAUUUUUUUUUCCUAUUUUAAAUAAAAGGUUGUUAUUUUUUGAAGGUAGGUUGUUCAGUGUGGUGAUGAUUGCGAGCACGGAGGAAGGGGUGAGGUGGUGAAGAUGAGAGUGGUGGGUGCUGGUCGACUGUGCCUGCCUGGUCUGAGUGGAACUACUGCCGCAAUAUGCAAGCAACUCAGAUGUGUCUAUGUCCCUCUACAUUUUCAUUGAUGCUCGCCUUGAUGUCUGCAUUGAUUCAGGUGUGCAUGCCUUAUGUUCGAGUGAGAGACAUAUAUUUGUCACAAACUAUUUCAAUACAUCCCAUGUUUAGUGCUUCUGACUUAGCUAUUCUACACAUGUAUAAAUAAUGUACCUCUACAAGUAGGGCCUCACUCCUCACUUUACUUAUUUCUCCUAUUGAUAGUACAUGAAUAGUUUCUUGAUGCUAACUAGCUCAAAUUGGAAUUUGUGAUGUACAUUUGGAAGGGGUGCAUAAGUGUUGUCGGGUCUACCCAAUCCAACACCAAACGUAGGCUUUUCACACCUCGAAUGGGAUAGGUUGUUUCUAAUCCUAGAAUUCUUGUCUGCUGAUUUCCUGUGAACCUAUCCUAAACUUUCUUAUUGACAUGUUGAAUGGGCCAGUUGUGCUAACUUUGGUUGUAUUCUCAUGGCUCCCCCUUUUUAUCCAUGCCAUGGUAUAUCAGUUUAUCUGCAUGAGUGAAUGUAUGAGUUCAUUUCUUUUAUUAAGAUGAUUUUGAUGAGUUCAUCUAUACCGAAGCAAUCCUCAUCUAAUUUUUAAUUUCUUCACGGUUAGUGUGGGCCUGCUACAGGCGGCUGAUCAAGGGCGAUGCCGACAAAGAUGGAUAGAAGAUGUGCAAGCAGGUUAUCGCGAGGAGCUGGGAAAUAUUUUCUUGAUGUCCACUUAUGAAUUUGUUCUAACCUCCGUAUGUGCUAGCGUAUAAAAAAAAUUCGGAUCUGUGAGGUACAGGCUUUGUCUGCAGUGACCAGAUUUUCCAUUUGGCAUGCUAUAUAACUUCACCAGUUCAUACUGAACUAAGUUACUCAUGUCAUCCUGUGCAACAACUGCUGGUGUUGAAUGUGUUCAUGCUAUACAAAACUUGUUAAAUCAAGAAACUCUUUGUUUUUUUUGUGUUAUAUACUACAGAAGUUGUGAAGUUUCAAGUGCAUAACCUUGCUGCUUAUUUUCCACUCUUCUCAACCUUACAGUGUUGCAGCAGAUAUUCAGACAAUGCUUGAAGAUACGAUGUUGAAUUUUGAGAAGGAAAGGUAACUCAAGCUUGUGUGAACUGUGAAAUAGUGCUCAUAGUUACCAGUUGUCUUUUUGCAAGAACAAUUUCGCUUUAAACCCUAUUUGGUUUCUGAAAAGUAAAAGUUCAUAUUUAUUUAGAUUGUAAACUAAGUGUUCUAUGUUCAUGUGCAGGCAGAUUUUUCUGAAAGUACUUUCAAACACUUCCAUAGAGGUGUUCAAUUUAAAAUUCUUACAGCUUGAUAUUUACUGAUUUACAUACGUUAAAUGAUGACAAGUAAUUUGCAUUGUAUGUAGUUUUAAAGUUCAUUCAACGAGUACACCAAACUGAAACAUUCUGGUCAUGUUGUAGCAAUAAUAUUUCUUAUUUUUUAACUUAGCAGAAUAUAUUCACAUUUGGAUUAUAUCUAACUAUUACCAUGCAAGUUACAGACUCCCUUCAUUUUUUUUGAGGGACAGACUCCCUUCGAUUAUUAAUCCCAUAGUAAUACGAACAAAAUAAAUACUAGCUGUCCCUCUUGAAGGAUCCAACUUGUAAGGUCCAGCUCAUUCUUAUAGCCUUUCAAAAAACCCGCUCUCUCCUUUAUCAUCUCUUGGUAAUUCUGCUAUUUGCUUCACCGAUAAAACAAUCCGUCU